GAUCCUGGCUCAGGAUGAACGCUGGCGGCAUGCCUAAGACAUGCAAGUCGAACGAGAUGGCCCAGUGAAGGUUGAGUGCUUGCACAAGACUGAAUCUGGAUUCCCAUCUAGUGGCAGACGGGUGAGUAACACGUGGGUGACCUACCUUUUCGUUGGGGAUAACAGUUGGAAACGAUUGCUAAUACCGAAUAAAAUGUAAGAGUCAAAUUUUACAUUGAAAGGAGCCUUUAAAGCUUCGCGAUUAG
RNAcentral lists this ribosomal RNA (245 nucleotides) under uncultured bacterium. Its description in RNAcentral is "partial 16S ribosomal RNA". It matches the Rfam family "Bacterial small subunit ribosomal RNA", at positions 15 to 224 of the family's 1533-position model. The record is from RNAcentral.